This 255-nucleotide ribosomal RNA is filed under the name uncultured bacterium. RNAcentral describes it as "partial 16S ribosomal RNA". It matches the Rfam family "Bacterial small subunit ribosomal RNA", at positions 524 to 776 of the family's 1533-position model. The record is from RNAcentral.
UACGUAGGGUGCGAGCGUUGUCCGGAAUUAUUGGGCGUAAAGAGCUUGUAGGCGGUUUGUCGCGUCUGCUGUGAAAAUCCGGGGCUCAACCCCGGACUUGCAGUGGGUACGGGCAGACUAGAGUGUGGUAGGGGAGAUCGGAAUUCCUGGUGUAGCGGUGAAAUGCGCAGAAUAUCAGGAGGAACACCGGUGGCGAAGGCGGGACUCUGGGCCGAUGACUGACGCUGAGGAGCGAAAGCGUGGGGAGCAAACAGG